UGCGUAGGUGGCCUUUUAAGUUGGAUGUGAAAUACCCGGGCUUAACCUGGGGGGUGCAUCUAAUACUGGGAGGCUAGAGUGCAGGAGAGGAAAGCGGAAUUCCUAGUGUAGCGGUGAAAUGCGUAGAUAUUAGGAGGAACACCAGUGGCGAAGGCGGCUUUCUGGACUGUAACUGACACUGAGGCACGAAAGCGUGGGGAGCAAACA
RNAcentral lists this ribosomal RNA (207 nucleotides) under uncultured Bacillota bacterium. RNAcentral's name for it is "uncultured Firmicutes bacterium partial 16S ribosomal RNA". It matches the Rfam family "Bacterial small subunit ribosomal RNA", at positions 568 to 774 of the family's 1533-position model. The record is from RNAcentral. Lineage: Bacteria; Bacillati; Bacillota.